CUGCGCGUUGGGCACAGAUAGUUUCGUCCGUCUGUCCGCCCCCGGAAGUACGCCAAAUUGCACCCCAAACGGACAGAAGCGGACGUCCGUUUGGGGUCGAAAUGGGUCGUGCGGUGGAGUCGGCCUUAGUCCCAGUCCUCGCCACCGCGCUCUGCUCUUCUCCCACCUCGCCGCCGCCGCGCUCGCCUCGCCGCCCCGUUCCAUUCUUCUCACACCUCGCCACCGCGCUCCGCUCUUCUCACGCAUCGCCGCGCUCCCCUCCACCCUCCCUUGGCUCAGCCGCCUCCAACAAAGGUUGGACCUUUUGGUCCAAGAAGGCGACGAAUCGCCGGAUCCGGCGUCGGCGGGGACGGAUCCAGUGGCUGCGAGGCCGGACGCGCCGGAUCCGGUGGCUGCGACCUGGUGCCGUUCCCCUGUAAGGAGCAGUUCGGCGAACUGGAUGGAGGACGUUGGAAGGACGGAAGUGCAGGCAUGCGGCGGGCGGGAGGGCGGCUGGGGCGGGGCCUCCCCGUGCGCGGCGUGCAAGCUGCUGCUGCGGCGGUGCUCGGCGGGGUGCGUGUUCGUGCCCUACUUCCCGUCAGGCGAGCCGCACAGGUUCGCCAGCGUGCACAAAGUCUUCGCGCUAGCAACGUCAGCAAGCUCCUCCAGCAAAGUCUUCGGCGCCGCAGCACCACGCCGUCCCGACGCCGACCCAGUUGCAAACGGCGGCCGCCACCGCUAGCCCGAGGGAAACAAUCUCAGGGCACCAGGCUCUCGAAACCGAGUCAGACUCAGACAACGAGUCACUGGUCGAGACACAGGGCGAAUGUCGUCAGAUACAAGGCGAAUAAGAAGGAUGGUGUCCAACAGGGAGUCGGUUCGACGGUCCAGGAGGAGGAAGCACGCGCAGCUAACUGACCUUGAGUUGCAGGUCGAGCAACUUAAAAGUGAUCAAGCAUGCCUACUCCAUUUCUGAACAGUAGCUAGGGCUGGCACCAUUUCAAGGUUCAGGAAUUGAAUCAGAUGGGUAUCCUCGCCCUCGUCACCUGCAAGCUGGGAACCAGCGGGUUUGGGUCGGCCUCCAUGGUGGAGCAGGUCACCUACGCCGCCGGCCUCACCGUCAUCGUCACAGGGGCAUCUAGAUGGAUGAUGUAUGGCGAUGCAAAUGGGAGCUGGCGAGGAAAGAAGACUGCUGCGACAACCAGAUCGAAUCCCUUCCCUAUAGGAGACCUGAUGCUGAUCCGGAGGCUGAGGAAGAUGGCACGGCACUUGAACAUCCGGAGGCGGAGAAGAAAGAAGAUGCAUCUAUCAAUGGCACAGAGGCGGAGGUGCUGUCGCUGGUGCACGAGCUGGCCGGAGGCGAGAGGAGCUGGCCGGCGCUGGUGCACAAGCUGGCUGGAGGCGAGAGGAGCUCGCUGGCGCUGGAUCGGAGGUGCUGGUGUGUGCGUGCGCGCUAGCUGGCUGGAUCGGAGGCGAGAGGAGCACAUGCGUCUUUUCUGAAUUUAUAGAAGAGCUAAAUUGUAAUAGAAACUUGUAUAGAAUGGUGCGACUCGAGAACAAUAAACUUGUUAGUAUGUCAGCGAUUGUGUUCUGUCAAAUGAACUUCACUACUGGAAAAAUCGCCGUUACGGAGUA
Molecule: long non-coding RNA, 1614 nt
Organism: Triticum dicoccoides
Lineage: Eukaryota; Viridiplantae; Streptophyta; Magnoliopsida; Poales; Poaceae
Exons: 6
Source: RefSeq, a predicted model, not a curated record